UUACUGCAACCUCCACCUCCUGGGUUCAAGCAAUUCUCUGCCUCAGCCUCCUGAGUAGCUGGGACUACAGGCACACACCACCACACCUGGCUAAUUUUUGUAUAUUUAGCAGAGAUGGGGUUUCACCAUCAUAGCCAGGCUCACCUUGAACUCCUCACCUUGUGUUCCACCUGCCUCGCUUCCCAAAGUGCUGGGUUUACAGGUGAGUUGUUGCACACUCCUUAGUGAAUUCCGACUUCCAUGGCCACCAUCCUGCUUGGAGUGGAUGAUCUUCACCGAAUGGAGUGACUUAACAAGUUAAAGGAGCAUGUAGCCAGAAGACCCCUGUGGGAAAGGAUGCACAAGGCAGAAAAUACUGAGAAAAUACCAUGGCAUGUCCAUAUGUGCAUACAAAAUAGUUUAUCAGAUCAUACUGAGUAACUUCUGUAGUAGAUUCCUAAGGAGGAAAAUAGAAAGAACACUCUCUGGGUUUUUGCAUGCUGAUAAAAAUUCAUCUGUGCCCUUUAUACUUGAAGGUGUGCACUGAGGAAAGGCCAUGUGAAGACAUAGAGCAGCCAUCUGCAAGCCCGGAAGUGAGCGCUCACUGGAAACCAACAAUGCUGGCCCACGGUCUUGAACUUCCCAGCCUCCAGAACUGUGGGAGAACACAUUUCUGUUGCUUAAGCUACCCAGUCCAUGGAAUCUUGUUAUGACAGCUCAAGCAGCCUCGCAUGAGUAUGGGUAGGCCUUAGGAAUAGGAUCGUUACUCCCAUGAUUAGGUUAUAUGAUUUCACCAUAGCACACUAGAAAGAGAAUCUCCUGUUGGCUUUGAUGAAGUAAAUUUCCAUGUUGUGAGAUGGCUACAUGACAAGAACCUGGGGCAAUCUCUGGGAACUGAGGGAAUCCCUAGCUGGCAGCCAGCAAGAUAAUGGGAAUCUUAGUCCUACAACCACAAGUCAUUGAGUUCUGAGACCCUCGAAUCAGAUGGAAUCAUCAUAGCCCUGACUGACACCUUGAUUUCAACCUAGUGAGAUUCCGAGUAGAGGAUCCAGUUAGCUCAUGCUUCUAUUUUCUGGCCCACAGAAAUGGUAAGAUGAUAAAUUAGUUUUAAGUCACUAGGUUUGAAAUAAUUUGUUAUGCAGCAAUAAAAAACUAACACGGUGCAAUUUGAUAAGGUGCGAUAUGUGCACAGGUAUGGAAAACUGUGAACAGAAUCCAGAUAAUAAACAUACUUAAUACUCCCUUAGAUUUUGUUAUGUUCUUUUAUAGCUCCCUCCACUCCUGCCUCAACCUACUCUAUUUCCAGGAAAGUAUUGAUCUGUUUCCCUUCAUUGUAAAUUAGUUUGAAUUUUCUAGUCUUUUUUGUAAAUGGAAUCUUAUAGUAUGUAUUUGCUUGGUUUUUCUCUCUGUGCAUAAUUAUUUUUACUUUUAUCUGUGUUAUGUAUACCAACAGUUCAUUCCUUUUUAUGGCUGAAUAGUAUUCAAUUGUAUCUAUUUACCAAACUUUAUUAAUUCAUUCAACUGUUGAUACACAUUUGUGUUGUUACCAGUUCCCAGUGAUAACAAA
Molecule: non-coding RNA, 1546 nt
Organism: Callithrix jacchus (white-tufted-ear marmoset)
Lineage: Eukaryota; Metazoa; Chordata; Mammalia; Primates; Cebidae
Source: RefSeq, a predicted model, not a curated record